Molecule: transfer RNA, 56 nt
Filed under: uncultured Vexilliferidae
Lineage: Eukaryota; Discosea; Flabellinia; Dactylopodida; Vexilliferidae
Description: partial tRNA
Source: RNAcentral
CCCAUAGGUAAGGAUACUCGCGUCCAAAUCGAGUGACGAUGGUUCGAAUCCGUCAU